AUACGGAGGGUGCAAGCGUUAUUCGGAAUCACUGGGCGUAAAGGACGCGUAGGCGGGUUGGCAAGUCAGAUGUGAAAUCCUACAGCUUAACUGUAGAACUGCAAUUGAAACUGCUAACCUAGAGUAUGGGAGGGGGAGAUGGAAUUAGUGGUGUAGGGGUAAAAUCCGUAGAUAUCACUAGGAAUACCGAAGGCGAAGGCGAUCUCCUGGAACAUAACUGACGCUAAGGCGUGAAAGCGUGGGGAGCAAACAGGAUUAGAAACCCCAGUAGUCC
Molecule: ribosomal RNA, 274 nt
Filed under: uncultured bacterium
Lineage: Bacteria
Description: partial 16S ribosomal RNA
Rfam family: Bacterial small subunit ribosomal RNA
Source: RNAcentral